RNAcentral lists this ribosomal RNA (468 nucleotides) under uncultured bacterium. Its description in RNAcentral is "partial 16S ribosomal RNA". It matches the Rfam family "Bacterial small subunit ribosomal RNA", at positions 28 to 507 of the family's 1533-position model. The record is from RNAcentral.
GAUGAACGCUGGCGGCGUGCUUAACACAUGCAAGUCGAACGGAAAGGCCCUGCUUUUGUGGGGUGCUCGAGUGGCGAACGGGUGAGUAACACGUGAGUAACCUGCCCUUGACUUUGGGAUAACUUCAGGAAACUGGGGCUAAUACCGGAUAGGAGCUCCUGCUGCAUGGUGGUGGUUGGAAAGUUUCGGCGGUUGGGGAUGGACUCGCGGCUUAUCAGUUUGUUGGUGGGGUAGUGGUCUACCAAGGCCUUGACGGGUAGCCGGCCUGAGAGGGUGUACGGCCACAUUGGGACUGAGAUACGGCCCAGACUCCUACGGGAGGCAGCAGUGGGGAAUAUUGCACAAUGGGCGGAAGCCUGAUGCAGCAACGCCGCGUGGGGGAUGACGGCCUUCGGGUUGUAAACCGCUUUCGCCUGUGACGAAGCGUGAGUGACGGUAAUGGGUAAAGAAGCACCGGCUAACUACGUG